This 381-nucleotide long non-coding RNA is filed under the name Oryctolagus cuniculus (rabbit). RNAcentral describes it as "lncRNA (ENSOCUG00000037892.1)". Lineage: Eukaryota; Metazoa; Chordata; Mammalia; Lagomorpha; Leporidae. The record is from RNAcentral.
AUGAGUAGGGCUGUGGCCCUGGAUGGAGUACUGCGUGUCUCUGAGAGGCCUGAGGUAACCUGUGUUGCUCAGUUUUCUAAAACAGAUAAGCCCUGUUCCAUCAUGAGCACUGAAGAACCAACCUCAAGUACUGAAGAUGGGGAGGAGAAGAGCAUGCCGGGCCAAUCAAAUGAUAAAGAAAAUGAAAAGUUUUCUAAAACAGAUAAGCCCUGUUCCAUCAUGAGCACUGAAGAGCCAACCUCAAGCCCGGAAGAGGGGGAGGAGAGCAUGCCGGGCCAAUCAACCGAUAAAGAAAAUGAAAAGUUUUCUAUGACAGCAGAAUUUAAAUACAGUACGAGUUCCAAUGGACUGCAUUCUGGAGCACUGGAGCUACAGAUUUAA